UACGUUCGUUGGGUAGGGGAGCGUUCUGUAAGCCUGUGAAGGUGUGUCGUGAGGCAUGCUGGAGGUAUCAGAAGUGCGAAUGCUGACAUAAGUAACGAUAAAGCGGGUGAAAAGCCCGCUCGCCGGAAGACCAAGGGUUCCUGUCCAACGUUAAUCGGGGCAGGGUGAGUCGACCCCUAAGGCGAGGCCGAAAGGCGUAGUCGAUGGGAAACGGGUUAAUAUUCCCGUACUUGGUGUUACUGCGAAGGGGGGACGGAGAAGGCUAUGUUGGCCGGGCGACGGUUGUCCCGGUUUAAGCGUGUAGGUGUGUGUUCCAGGUAAAUCCGGUUCACUUUAACACUGAGGCGUGAUGACGAGGCACUACGGUGCUGAAGCAACAAAUGCCCUGCUUCCAGGAAAAGCCUCUAAGCAUCAGGUAACAUCAAAUCGUACCCCAAACCGACACAGGUGGUCAGGUAGAGAAUACCAAGGCGCUUGAGAGAACUCGGGUGAAGGAACUAGGCAAAAUGGUGCCGUAACUUCGGGAGAAGGCACGCUGACACGUAGGUGAAGUGAUUUACUCACGGAGCUGAAGUCAGUCGAAGAUACCAGCUGGCUGCAACUGUUUAUUAAAAACACAGCACUGUGCAAACACGAAAGUGGACGUAUACGGUGUGACGCCUGCCCGGUGCCGGAAGGUUAAUUGAUGGGGUCAGCGCAAGCGAAGCUCCUGAUCGAAGCCCCGGUAAACGGCGGCCGUAACUAUAACGGUCCUAAGGUAGCGAAAUUCCUUGUCGGGUAAGUUCCGACCUGCACGAAUGGCGUAAUGAUGGCCAGGCUGUCUCCACCCGAGACUCAGUGAAAUUGAACUCGCUGUGAAGAUGCAGUGUACCCGCGGCAAGACGGAAAGACCCCGUGAACCUUUACUAUAGCUUGACACUGAACAUUGAGCCUUGAUGUGUAGGAUAGGUGGGAGGCUUUGAAGUGUGGACGCCAGUCUGCAUGGAGCCGACCUUGAAAUACCACCCUUUAAUGUUUGAUGUUCUAACGUGGACCCGUAAUCCGGGUUGCGGACAGUGUCUGGUGGGUAGUUUGACUGGGGCGGUCUCCUCCUAAAGAGUAACGGAGGAGCACGAAGGUUGGCUAAUCCUGGUCGGACAUCAGGAGGUUAGUGCAAUGGCAUAAGCCAGCUUGACUGCGAGCGUGACGGCGCGAGCAGGUGCGAAAGCAGGUCAUAGUGAUCCGGUGGUUCUGAAUGGAAGGGCCAUCGCUCAACGGAUAAAAGGUACUCCGGGGAUAACAGGCUGAUACCGCCCAAGAGUUCAUAUCGACGGCGGUGUUUGGCACCUCGAUGUCGGCUCAUCACAUCCUGGGGCUGAAGUAGGUCCCAAGGGUAUGGCUGUUCGCCAUUUAAAGUGGUACGCGAGCUGGGUUUAGAACGUCGUGAGACAGUUCGGUCCCUAUCUGCCGUGGGCGCUGGAGAACUGAGGGGGGCUGCUCCUAGUACGAGAGGACCGGAGUGGACGCAUCACUGGUGUUCGGGUUGUCAUGCCAAUGGCACUGCCCGGUAGCUAAAUGCGGAAGAGAUAAGUGCUGAAAGCAUCUAAGCACGAAACUUGCCCCGA
This 1604-nucleotide ribosomal RNA is filed under the name Salmonella enterica. Its description in RNAcentral is "partial 23S ribosomal RNA". It matches the Rfam family "Bacterial large subunit ribosomal RNA", at positions 1216 to 2802 of the family's 2925-position model. The record is from RNAcentral. Lineage: Bacteria; Pseudomonadati; Pseudomonadota; Gammaproteobacteria; Enterobacterales; Enterobacteriaceae.